GGCCCAGUGGCGGAUGGUGCGCGCCUGCAUCUAAUGAUUCCUUGCGACGGAAUUCUGUAGGAAUUUGCUCGUUCGAAUCGAGUCUGGGCCA
Mycena latifolia is the source of this 91-nucleotide non-coding RNA. The record is from the annotation of a GenBank genome assembly. Lineage: Eukaryota; Fungi; Basidiomycota; Agaricomycetes; Agaricales; Mycenaceae.